ACGACUUCCGCGUUGUGUUGCCGGCGUGCUGUCGUGACCGACAAAUUUAUACUCCUCUUUUCUGUCGUUUAUACUGCUUUCUGGUGGUGCUCUCUUGGCUUCGUAUACUUUGUGUUUUCGCAGCCACGCAACAGCUCGAGGAAAGGGGAUGAUGAUUGAGAAGGGAAGAGCGUGAUAGUGAAAACGAACGGCUAUAGCUAUAAGGUGGGUUGAUAUUAUACUGGAGGACCUGGACAUAUGUUUGAGCCGUUCAGGUGAGCGAGCGGGCGGUCACCAUUAGCCAUCGUGGAAAGAAGAAUUGUAUUUUCUCGGGGCCAGCAGCUAUGGUAUAGCCACAGCUCCCAAACGCAUACACACACACACACACAUACACAUAGUACAUUCAGACAUAGGCAUUCAGUCACACAAGAAAAGAUAAAAAAAAAAAAAAGAAGAAAGAAGAAGAAAAGAAGGGGGGGUCACUGUCGGUCAUUCACCUCCGUGCCGCUCUUGAAUAUAUCUAUAUACGUGUAUGCGUAUAUAGACAUAAACUGAGGUUCCCUGUUCUCAACACACACACACACACAUCCCUUUAUCGAGCCUUGCUCUUAUUAUUAUAUAUCCCUGUUGUAACUAUAGUGGGUACAUAUAAUAACAAGAAUAGCCUCCAACUGCCCUGCAUUUUGUGAUAUCAGCACCGCAAAACACAAGAUUAUCUCUCGCUUCAUUUAUUUAUUUAUUUAUUUUUUUUUUUUUCAUACAAUUAUUUUUAAUUUUGAGGAGAUUUUUGUUGUUGUUUUGUUCACCUGCCACGUAGCUGGGAGGUUUCUAAACUUUGCAUCAAUCAUUCUUAUGGAAUCCAGCUAGAUGUCGCCUAACAUUGCUAAAGCGGUUAAAACCACAACGUGGAGGAUUUCAGUCGCAAAAACCUUUUGAAAUCCAAAUUCAGACAAGAGCAUUUUAAUAAAAUUUCAAUUUUUUUGUUUUUUUUUUGUUUAUUAAUUUUUAUUAUUAUUAUUUAUUUAUUUCAUUUUAUUUUUUUUGCUCUUCCCUUCUUCAGUAAAUUUCCUCCCUCCCUGCGUGUACUGUAAAUCUGUUUAUAUACACGCAUUUAUCAUCGUGGUAGGUUGGGGAUGGGGGGGGGGAACAGAUUCCGGACGACAUAUGUGUCGGCAGCAUUUCCUCCGCAAAGUCGCCGACCACUUAUAAUUCUCCCCUGAACAUGCACAGCGUCUCCGACAAAAACAGCUGAGUAGGUUACUGCCGGUCUUUGGCCUUGCCCUGCUCACCGUGCCGCAGCGAGUCCAACAAAACAUUGACGUCAUCGGUGACGUACCGGUACCGCCCUAUUUUCUCCUCCUUCGCCAUCAAUCCCGCCUUCUUCUUAAAGUUGGCAAAUUGCCACGUUUAAAACCGACACAGCAGCGUUUUACUAGCGAACGCGGGUUUAAACUAUACUCGUCGUUUAUAACGCUGCGGCUGAAGUGAAGCGGGCGAACGAGCCAGAUGACCCGAAUCGAGUUGCUCGUUUCAUCUUCAAAUAUACCGGGUACUGACACGUACUGUACGUACUGUAGCCUGUAUAGAUAUAGCUACAGUAUAUACUACAUGUUACCUGUCUUUCACGCUAUCGUUAGUGUGGGGUUUAAGGCGAUUCGCUUUGAGAUGGCACCCAUUUCAAUAUUAGCUGACGGCGUGAGCACAGUUCAUUGAACCCCCGGCAAUUCUGCAGUAUAUAGUCAACGAUGUUGCCAGUUUGAGUCACUCUAGCAUCUAUGCUAAUUGGUUUCGACCGUUCGUCGUUAUUGACGUUCCAAAGUGUGUUCAUUUUAGCCACCCAAACAGUUUCCCUGUCUAUAGCCUCAUCGUAUUUGUGUCUUGCUAUCGAAUGAAUGAUGUUAUUCGUGGAGGAAUAGAAGAUAAGCAUUUGAUUUGGCUUAUUUUAUGGAACUCGAUCGUAUGACGGAUCACGACGCUGGCGUGGUGUCCGAACGGCACGAAGGAGACCGCGAAUUGUUUGUGAUUUAUUUAUUGUUUCAGCUAUGGACGACGUAAUUUCCGCGUUUACUUCCCGGACCUGGCGAUUGAGUCCUUUUUUUUUUUGUCCCUGUUUUAUUUUUCCCAAGGCUUUUAUUAUAAUUGAAUAAAUCAGAAACUUGUUCAUCAAAUUGACUGUUUACUUGAGCUGCCCUAUAGCCAUCUUUAGCCUGUUUUCGAAUCAGGUGAAUGUCAAUAUCAUAACAUAUUUUGUGUUGGCGAUCGUAUGGAACAAUCGGAAACCCUGGAAUUGGCACCGAUUCAUUGGAAAACGAAAGAAAUGAAAAGACCAGAGGUACUUGGAUAUCGUGAUAUCGCUUUGCAUAUAUUUUUUACUUUUAUUCAUUUUUUCUUUUUUUUUUCAUUGUCUUAUUUGUUACCCAACAGGUUUCAGGGCUACAUGGUACAUGAGUACGACUCUCGUGGCUAUUUUUGCCGUCUUCUUCCGUACAACGUAAAUC
Daphnia magna is the source of this 2477-nucleotide long non-coding RNA. RefSeq lists it as uncharacterized. The transcript is spliced from 2 exons. The record is from RefSeq and is a predicted model, not a curated record. NCBI's taxonomy places the organism in Eukaryota, Metazoa, Arthropoda, Branchiopoda, Diplostraca, Daphniidae.